AGCACGUUAUGGUGGGCACUCUAAGGAGGACUGCCGGUCGGACAAACCGGAGGAAGGUGGGGGAGUGACGUCAAGUCAUCAUGGCCCUUACGGCCUGGGCUACACACGUGCUACAAUGGUCGGUACAAAGGGUUGCCAAGCCGCGAGGUGGAGCUAAUCCCAUAAAACCGAUCGUAGUCCGGAUCGCAGUCUGCAACUCGACUGCGUGAAGUCGGAAUCGCUAGUAAUCGUGAAUCAGAAUGUCACGGUGAAUACGUUCCCGGGCCUU
Molecule: ribosomal RNA, 268 nt
Filed under: uncultured Pseudomonas sp.
Lineage: Bacteria; Pseudomonadati; Pseudomonadota; Gammaproteobacteria; Pseudomonadales; Pseudomonadaceae
Description: partial 16S ribosomal RNA
Rfam family: Bacterial small subunit ribosomal RNA
Source: RNAcentral